Molecule: long non-coding RNA, 1136 nt
Organism: Crotalus tigris (Tiger rattlesnake)
Lineage: Eukaryota; Metazoa; Chordata; Lepidosauria; Squamata; Viperidae
Exons: 3
Source: RefSeq, a predicted model, not a curated record
UUAGUUUUGCUGUAAAUACAGACCUCCAUCCAUCAUCGGUCUCUGGGUGGCUAUAAGAGAUCUAAUUUGUUUCAGAUGCCCUGCGCUUUCUGAGCUGUUCACCAACUCUGUUGACCUGCUGAGAAGACCAAAAGCUGCAGAAGAAUGACUGACAAGGGAGCGCCUUCUCCACCUAUAGAAUAGUCUGCACUAACUGCACCGACUGAGAAUUAGAGGCCAUUUCAGAAGAUUUACAUGCUGUCCCCUUCUUUUUCAGAGGCUUGGUGCUUCAGAAAAGAUUUGAAAGGUGUAAGGCUCUCAUUAGGGAGGCUACAACAUGGUAAUGGAAAACCCACUCUUCCCGCCCCCUCCCCCUUUUUCCCUUUGCUUUUACAAGCCUUGCUUAAGACCUCCAGUUCCCCAGGAAUUUUAUGAAUGCCUAGGAGCAGCCAAAAUAAACUCGUAAAAGAAAGGUUUGGAGAAAAAAAAGGUCAUAGACCUGUACAGCAAGUGCUAAGCAAGAAUUAUUUGAAAGGGGGGAAAAGUGCAGGACUGUAGUGCAAGCCUGUGGUAAUACAUCAAUUUUCUGACCCAAAAAAAAUAUAAAUCCAUGAAUGGGCAUUUAGAAAAGGGAUUCUCCUCCCACUUCUGCCAGUUUAAGCAGCCCACCUGUCUUUGCACCAUUGGUAAUGAAGCUUUACCACUAACUCUGAACCAAAGCCUUGUUUGUUUUUCAGCUUCUCCAGGGCUGAGUUUACACAGUAAGGAGGGUUGAGUUUACACAGGCAGAAAAUAAACUUGUUGGAAGCUCAGUAUCUGACAUGGCUCAUAGAAUCCAACCAGGAAAGCAGCAUUUCUGGAGCUGAAACUUGAAUUAAGGAGCAAUCCCAUCAGGCACUGCACAAAAUGUCAUGGAUGUCCAUGAUGUUCCAUGGAAGGAGGACAUCAAGACUACCUUGAGCACCCUUGUGGGCAAACAGCUGAACAUCCCCUCUUCAUCACUUGAGAUAUUUUGGAGACGAGACCUGGCCUUCACUGAAUGGAAAAAGAGAGAACAUGAAACUUUUGUAUUGUCAAAAUAAAUGAGUCUAAAUGAUGUAUCACUAAUGAAAUGUAUUAAUUUGAGUGACCAAUAAAUAAAAUAUUUGCAUUCUUAA